UCUCUUCUUUUCCGUUUCCUCUUGCCAAAUCUGAACCCUAGACUCCCGAAUCCUCUCUGAAACAAGAAGCCGUCACUUCCGAUCCAAGAACUCAGAUCACGGAGGCGAUGGCCUUCUCUGAUCGACCGCUCCUGUUGCCUCGGCAUGGCGACGACUGGGGCGUUGGACAAUCUCCCGAUGCCAAGUCCUGAGGGAGAUUCCUCAUGGUUCGGCGCUUCUAAUGUCAGGUUGUGCUCGCCGAUGUUGGAAGGGGUUACCGCACCUGGAACGUUUGACGCACCAAGAGAAGGACAUGAUCGUGAAGCUCGAAGCAAGGUUGUGGAUGUCUUAUGGAAACCCAAACCCUUCACUGGCUAAGAAGCAGGCAUCAGCUGCAUCCUAGCUUCAUUUAUAACCAGCAGUACCUUCCAUCCUUAAUCAUAUUAUAGAUCAGCUGAUUGAGUCCUGUGUUCGUGGUUCACUGUCUCCAGAAAUAAUCCCAUCGAUGCUUGCUGAUGGAUUUCAAGGAUGAGCGACAAUAGAGGUACAAGCCAUUUCGGCUAUGCUUCCCUCUCUCCUUUUUCUACUCAUGCAUUUAUUUGUUCUUUUUUCUUUUUGGUUAUUUGGGUAAUGACCACGAGGUCGAUGAUUAAUCAGAUGGUGGGAUCAGCUGGUUUAGCAAGGGGUGGACUCUCCCCUUCCUAGUGCUUGUAAGAGAUAUAGUCCUAACCCCGUUAGGACUCUCCCUUGCUAGGGUCAGCCUCCUUAAUUGUCCUCCAAUUUGGCUGUAAGGCUUCUCCCAGUCCGAGUGUAACUCUGCUUGGUUAUGCUAAAAUUAGAGUUGAUGUUGGUAUGAUCAAAACUUGAUCUUGAGAUUGGGCUUGCUUGGUGUUUGACUAGGUUAGAUUUGAAUUAGUGUUCGAGUCAAACUUUAAUUGAGCUGAAUUAAACUUCGAUCGAAAUUCAAUUUGAGUUGAACUUA
Non-coding RNA from Musa acuminata subsp. malaccensis (wild Malaysian banana), 961 nucleotides. The record is from RefSeq and is a predicted model, not a curated record. NCBI's taxonomy places the organism in Eukaryota, Viridiplantae, Streptophyta, Magnoliopsida, Zingiberales, Musaceae.